CCCCUAGAUGUUCUGGGCCGCACGCGCGCUACACUGAACAGUUCAACAAGUCUUAACCUUGGCCGACAGGCCUGGGCAAUCUUUGAACAUCGAUCGUGAUCGGGAUAGAUUCUUGUAAUUUUUGAUCUUAAACGAGGAAUUCCUAGUAAACGCAAGUCAUCAGCUUGCAUUGAUUACGUCCCUGCCCUUUGUACACACCGCCCGUCGCACCUACCGAUUGAAUGGUCCGGUGAAAUCUCCGGACUGGCGUGAGUCGGAGCAAUCUGACAAACGCCGGAAAGUUGAUUAAACCUUACCAUUUAGAGGAAGGUGAANUCGUANCA
RNAcentral lists this ribosomal RNA (323 nucleotides) under uncultured eukaryote. RNAcentral's name for it is "partial 18S ribosomal RNA". It matches the Rfam family "Eukaryotic small subunit ribosomal RNA", at positions 1470 to 1796 of the family's 1831-position model. The record is from RNAcentral.